Small nucleolar RNA from Ceratotherium simum simum (southern white rhinoceros), 295 nucleotides. RefSeq annotates it as Z30 small nucleolar RNA. Lineage: Eukaryota; Metazoa; Chordata; Mammalia; Perissodactyla; Rhinocerotidae. The record is from RefSeq and is a predicted model, not a curated record.
UAAAUUUUCUUGGAUGUGAAAAUAGGGUUUUGGGCUGCUCUUAUAUAAUACAAGGAGGUGAAAUGCAGUGAUGCGAUGAUGAGUGAAGUAUAGUCUGACCUGGUAUUGCCAUUGCUUCAGUGUUGGCUUUGACCAGGGUAUGAUCCCUUAAUCUUCUCUCUGAGCUGAUUCUGGUUGUGGUUUUUCCACAUUGGUGAAAAAUCUGGCUUUGAUACCUUCACAGAGGACUACGCUAUUUCAAUCCUAAAUCUGGUUCAGUUCCCUUACUGACUUAUUUAUUAAAAUGUUUAAUUAA